GCCUUGGCCUCUGGUGGGAAUUCAGAACUGGUGGGGAUAGGGUUUUCUCCAGCUGCCCCUUGGGGCGUCAUUGUCCUCUUUCUGCCAUCCUCCACCCCCACCCUCUGCUUGUCCAAGCUCCCUCUUCAAGGUCCUCCUUGAGGCUGAAGGACCCCAAGGACAUGUUUGCCCAAGGAGCUUUGCAUCCAUGAGCUCUGUGCAGGGGGCUGGUGCUCACGUAUGGGCCUGCGGCCCCAUGGAGGUGGAAAUCCGGUGCCGUAGACGCUCCAGAAACAGCCCUGGAGUUCCACCACUGCCUGGCCUUCCGCAGCCUUGUGAUGUCGCCCUUAAAGAGCCAGUGCCACCCCGGCCGUCGCCCGUCCCACCCGCCGCACCCACAGACCUCCCCUGGGCCGGUGCCCACAGAGCAACACCUCCCACCAAGAGGGAUUUUUCCGUGCCUGCGCUGUGGAACACUGGCACUGAGCACCCCACGACAUUCCCUUAUUGUACUCUGUGGUCUCAUGCCUCUGAGGACAGACCGCAUGGCCACAGCAGAAAACCUAAUGUGAACGUGGAGCCAGCAGCGCCAGCAGGUGUGUGCAGCAGGACAUGAGGAUCAGCAAGCCAGGCAGCGCGAGCAGUGGGAUGCAGAGAGGCAGCAGCACGGUGAGCUGGAGCUGACCACGCCAGAUGGAGACAAAGAUAAAUCAAGCUGACCGAUUAACCUAUAAUUAGCAUAACUGCUGAGGUUUCAUUAACCCUAUGAUCUGGCCAUGGCUGGGAGCCUACCAGGGGCAGCAGCCACUUCAAGGAGCAGACUGUGGUCAAUCACCACCUAUGUUGCUAUUACCCCAGCUGGGGAGAACAGGGGCCACGAAAAGAAGUGCAAGAGCAAACCCGGUGAUUUCAAAGGGAUCCCAACAGUUCCUUCAGCCAAAAUAAACCCGAGUUUAAAAAUG
This is a long non-coding RNA of Panthera uncia (snow leopard), 941 nucleotides long. RefSeq lists it as uncharacterized. NCBI's taxonomy places the organism in Eukaryota, Metazoa, Chordata, Mammalia, Carnivora, Felidae. The transcript is spliced from 5 exons. The record is from RefSeq and is a predicted model, not a curated record.